CUACACAUGCAAGUCGAGCGCGCCCUUCGGGGUGAGCGGCGGACGGGUUAGUAACGCGUGGGAACGUGCCCUUCUCUAAGGAAUAGCCUCUGGAAACGGAGAGUAAUACCUUAUACGCCCUUCGGGGGAAAGAUUUAUCGGAGAGGGAUCGGCCCGCGUUAGAUUAGAUAGUUGGUGGGGUAAUGGCCUACCAAGUCUACGAUCUAUAGCUGGUUUUAGAGGAUGAUCAGCAACACUGGGACUGAGACACGGCCCAGACUCCUACGGGAGGCAGCAGUGGGGAAUCUUGGACAAUGGGCGCAAGCCUGAUCCAGCCAUGCCGCGUGAAUGAUGAAGGCCUUAGGGUUGUAAAAUUCUUUCAGCAGGGAAGAUAAUGACGGUACCUGCAAAAGAAGCCCCGGCUAACUCCGUGCCAGCAGCCGCGGUAAUACGGAGGGGGCUAGCGUUGUUCGGAAUUACUGGGCGUAAAGCGCUCGUAGGCGGAUUGGUCAGUCAGAGGUGAAAGCCCAGGGCUCAACCUUGGAAUUGCCUUUGAUACUGCCAGUCUUGAGUUCAGGAGAGGUAAGCGGAAUUCCGAGUGUAGAGGUGAAAUUCGUAGAUAUUCGGAGGAACACCAGAGGCGAAGGCGGCCCCCUGGACAGAUACUGACACUCAGAUGCGAAAGCGUGGGGAGCAAACAGGAUUAGAUACCCUGGUAGUCCACGCCGUAAACGAUGUCUACUUGGAGGUUGUGGCCUUGAGCCGUGGCUUUCGGAGCUAACGCGUUAAGUAGACCGCCUGGGGAGUACGGUCGCAAGAUUAAAACUCAAAUGAAUUGACGGGGGCCCGCACAAGCGGUGGAGCAUGUGGUUUAAUUCGAUGCAACGCGAGAACCUUACCUACUCUUGACAUCCAGAAGAACUUUCCAGAGAUGGGAUUGGUGCCUUUCGGAACUCUGAGACAGUGCUGCAUGCUGUCGUCAGCUCGUGUGUGAAAUGUGGUAAGUCCCGCAACGAGCGCAACCCUUAUCUGUUUGCAGCGAGUAUGUCGGACUCCAGGAGACUGCCGUG
Molecule: ribosomal RNA, 1049 nt
Filed under: uncultured bacterium
Lineage: Bacteria
Description: bacterial SSU rRNA
Rfam family: Bacterial small subunit ribosomal RNA
Source: RNAcentral